Homo sapiens (human) is the source of this 8474-nucleotide long non-coding RNA. RefSeq lists it as uncharacterized. Lineage: Eukaryota; Metazoa; Chordata; Mammalia; Primates; Hominidae. The transcript has 3 exons. The record is from RefSeq and is a predicted model, not a curated record.
ACUGGAGAUGGUAAGAGGUGAGGCUCCCUCUCCUCCUGGUUGGGAAAGAGGAAGUACAUAACCCCAAUAGCUGCCCGCAGCUAUCAGGAGGCGCGUGGAACGUGACAGCAGUAUGGGUGAAGAAACUAAGAAUCAGAGGAGUUCUAACUGAGCCAUGAGGACUCGAUUCCUGAAAACCUUAUUUAUAAAAAACAGGAAUGGGAACUAAAACAAGGCAACCUGUGCAAGCCCUUACAAGUUUUUCAUGUAUUACAGUAAAAGGAAGAGAAGCAGGAAGAAGUUGUUUCAACAUCCCUAUAGAGAUGAUGCUGACGUAAUGAAAGCAACAUUACCGUGGAGAAGAGAAACUACAUUCAAAUAAUAUUUCUGAGGUAAAAAUAAGAUUUAUUUACUAUGUGUUAAGUGGGGCAAAGGCUUGGUACAAAAGAAAUUAGAGCUGUUUCUGAAGUUUCUAGUUUGAGACACCAGGUGAGAGCAAUGGAGAGGGUGCCAGAGAGGGUGCCAUUCCAUCCCAUCUCCUCUCUUUAUCUUCAAUCUCUUCCAGGAAGCAUAUAAACAUUUAUCUAACAUAUUAAAAUAAAACAAAACAAAACCUUAAGAUUCCACCAAAAACUCCAAUCAGCACUCCAUCACUCUUGUCCUCCCAAAGUCCAGCUAGUCAUCUAUAUAUGCCCUGUUUCAAUUUUCUUACCACACAAUUUACUUAACCCUCACUAAUCUGGUUUUCAACCCAUGAGUGAAUGUUGCGGGAAGUUAGGGACCCUGAAUGGAGGGACCUGCUGAAGCUGUGACAGAAGAAUAUAAAUCGUGAAGAUUUCAUGGACAUUUAUCAGUUCCCCAAAUUAAUACUUUUAUAAUUUCUUACGCCUGUCUUUACUGCAAUCUCUGAACAUAAACUGUGAAGAUUUCAUGGACAUUUAUCACUUCCCCAAUCAAUACUCUUAUAAUUUCCUAUGCCUGUCUUUAAUCUCUUAAUCCCGUCAUCUUCGUAAGCUGAGCAUGUAUGUCGCCUCAGGAUCCUGUGAUGAUUGUGUUAUCUGCAUAAAUUGCUUGUAGAGCAUGUGUGUUUGAACAAUAUGAAAUUUGGGCACCCAAAAGCAACAGGAUGGCUGCAGUGUUCAGGGAACAAGGGAGAUGAUCAUUAGGUCUGACUGUCUGGGAGCUGGGCAGAACAGAGUCAUAUUUCUCUUCUUGCAAAAGCAAAUAGAAGAAAUAUUGCUGAAUUCUUUUUCUCAGCAAGGAACAGCCCUGAGAAAGAGAAUGCAUUCUCAGGGGGGAGGUCUCUAAAAUGGCCGCUCGGGGAGUGUCUUAUACAGUUGUAGAUAAGGGACGAAAUAAGCCCUGGUCUCCUGUAGCGCCCCCAGGCUUAUUAGGAUUAGGAAAUUCCUGCCUAGUAAAUUUUAGUCAGACCGGUUGUCUGCUCUCAAACCCUGUCUCCUGAUAAGAUGUUAUCAAUGACAAUGCCGGCCCAGUACAACAUGAAACUUCAUCAGCAAUUCUAAUUUUGCCCUGGUCCUGUGAUCUCACUCUGCCCCCAUUUGCCUUGUGAUAUUUUAUUGCCCUUAAAGCAUGUGAUCUCAGCUAAUAAAAACUUGCUGGUUUUGCGGCUCAGGGGGCAUCAUGGAACCUGCUGACAUGUGAUGUCUCCCCCCGACACCCAGCUUUAAAACUUCUCUCUUUUGUACUCUGUCCCUUUAUUUCUCAGACCAGCCAACACUUAGGGAAAAUAGAAAAGAACCUACGUUGAAAUAUUGGGUGCUGGUUCCCCCGAUAAGUGAACCAAACUCAUUCUCACCCAAGUUCAUCAGUCAUCAGUACAGGCUAGUUCCCAAAUCUUAUCUUAUUUAACCUUCCAAAGAAUCAAUCUGAAAUGCUGACCACAAACCUGCGAAACUUUUGUCCCUUGGCUUUUUGUUCCAAGUUUUGCUUUUCUAGUUCUUCUGUCUCCAUGAUCACUGCUUUUAAGUGCUAAUGUUCCCCAGGUCUUGGUUUUAGGAUCUAUGCUCCUUUCAUUCUAUAUAUUUUUCCUGAGUAAUCUCAUCUACUCCCAGACAGUCCAUUCCUUGUUAUAACCAUGUAAUUCCCAAAUAUAGCCCAGAUUAGGACUCCAGACAUAGACAGAGUCUAAGUCCCUUAACAUGGUCCUGUAUUAUCUGGCUCCUGCCUGCAUCUCCCUCUUCACCCUUUGCCAUUCUCCCUUUUAGAUUCUGGGCACAUUUUCUUUCAGGUCCUGAGAUAUUUCAUUUUCUCUAUGUCUCUUACCCCUUGUAAAUGUUUCUUCUGCUUGAUACACCUGCUAACCAUUUCUCUGGAAAACUCAAACUUACCUAUAGGUUUCACCCUAAGAUAAGGCCUGCCUGCUUCAAGGCUUCAAAACGUAUCUUUAACGUGUCCAUUUCCAUCCCAUCUCCAGUCCACCCUAUAGUUCAAACCGCUAUAAUCUUUGACCUUAAAUACUGUUGAGUUUCCAACCACGUCUCCCUAUUCCUUCCUCCCUCCUGUCCAGUCCCCAACUAUUCACCACACAGUUGCCAGAAAGUAUUUUAGAAAUGGAAAUCAGAUUUUGACACAGCCUGCUUAAAACAUUUCAGUGGCUUCUCAUUGCAAUUAAAAUAAAACCCAAACUCCUUUCUGUGGUCUAGAAGACACUGUAUGAUCUAUCAAUCCAGCUGACUCUGUUUACACUUACAAUCAUUAUCUACUGUGACCUUAGGUCCUCAGAACAUCCCAGAGACUUUACCUGUAGCCUCAAUGCUCACUGUUCUCUCUACAUAAAAAUGCUCUUUCCGCUACUCUCCAUAUAGAUAAAUCCUUAUUUUUCAGGUCUCAGUUUAGGUGUUAAUUCCUCAUAGGGAUAUUUCCUUACAAACCUAUCUAAGUAGUCUCUCCUGUCAUCCCCUAGCACAACCAGUACUUACCAUAAUCUGUAGUUAUUGUUUGUUUACUUCUUAAUCAUCUGCCUUGCCUGACCGGUGUUGUAUCUGUGUUACUGGUCAUUGUUUUCCCACAGUAUGUUUACAACAUACUGUGGCUAUUGCUCAAUUAAUGCUUGUUGAUGUUUUGGCAUGGAAGAUAAUGGCAGUGUUUGUUUCUAGGAAUACCAAGUUCAGUCUCAAAAAUGUGAGAUAACCAUUUGGCAACUUUUAGAAAUCGGAGAUGUAAGUGUGUAGUUCAGGGCAGGACUUAGGAUUAGAGGCAGCAAUUUCAAUCAUCUUAAACAUGUCAGUUAAAGUGAAUGAGAACUUGUAAAACAAAAAUAAUGAAGUUGGGAACUUUAAAAAGUGAGCAGAGGCUGAGUCAGCAAAGGAGACUGAUAAACAUUAGAAGGAUAAGAGAAAAGCACAUUAACUGAGCUCCUAGAAAGGAAAAAUCAGAAGCAAAGAGUAGUCAACUAUUACAAAUGCUGCUGAAUAAAGAUAUAAAUUAAAAUACUAGAUUAAUCAUGUCAUUGGGAAUACUAAAAAUAUAAAUUUACAGCACUAGGGAGAGUAGCCAAAUUUUAAAAGGUUGAAGUGUAAUUCGGAUUAGAAAGAGAAAUAGUAAAAGCAAACUACAGUUGGCCGUUCAUAUCCAUAGGUUUGGCGACCACAGAUUCAACCAAACACAAAUGGAAAAUAUUUGAGGGUGGGAAAAAAACGAUGGUUGGGUCUGUACUAAACAUGUACAGACUUUCUUUUUCAUAUCAUUCCCUAAACAAUACAAUGUAACAACUAUUUGCAUAGCAUUUACAGUGUAUUAGGUAUUGUAAGUAAUCUAGAGAUUAUUUAAAGUGUAGGGGAAGUCGUGUGUAGGUUAUAUGCAAAUACUGCAGAGCGUCUAUGGAUUUUGGUAUCUGCAGGGGGAUCCUUGAACCCACUACCCCUCGAACACCAACAGACAACUAUAUUUAAGUUUGGCAGAAGGGAAAAAGGAAUGAUAGUUUGAAGGGUAGUUGGAUCAAGAAUUAUUAAUUUUGUAGACUGAAGGGUGUGAAUUAGAAAAGGGAAAGAGUGAUUAUAUGGAAAAGAGGAAGUUUAAGGUCUCCAAGUCCUGAAAAAGAGCUGAGAGAGACUUUUAAAGGUGGUCCACCGAUAACCCUGGAAAUCCUAGAGACCUUUCAGGGGGCCCACUGGAAGUUACAAUUAUUUACAUGAUAAAACUAAGAUAUGAUUUGCCCCUUUCGCUGUGUUGACAUUCACAGUGAUGGUACAAAAGCUAUGGUGUAAUACAUUGCUGGUUCCUUAGCAUACAUCGAGACAGUAACAUCAAGCUGUCCUAGUGGUCACUGUCCUAAAAAACACCCCCAUACCCUCACACAACUACAGAGCCAAUUUAAGAACAUACUUACUGCUGCAGUCAAAAUUACUAAUUUUAUUGUAUCUUGAUCUUGAAUACAAUGUCUUUUUAAAAAUAUAUUCUGCGGAACAAAAUGGAAGCUACCCAUAAAGCACUUAUGCUACAUACUGGGUAUGAUGGUCAAAAGUUAUCUCAAGGAAAAGUAUAUGUGUAAUUUUUUUAACUGCAAGCUGAACCAGCUACUUUUUUUUUUUUAAUGGAGUGCUGCUUUUACCUAGUAUAACUACCAAUAAGCUACAGUUAUUCAGACUUGAGUAUCUGGCUGACAUUUUCUCAAAAAUAAGUGAGCUUGACAUUUCAAGGAAAAUAGCCAGUGAUAAAAUUUCGAGCAUUCAAGCAGUAACUUGGAACACUUGUGUCCACUACUGUGACUCUGACAGCUUCUCAAUGCUUACAGAUUGUUCCGAUGACAUCACUGGUAACAGAAACAAACGUGACUUCUGGUAUGGUAUAAUGACAUACACUAACACUUGGAAGAUUGUCAUAAACCAGUAGACUGAUAAUCUCCAAAUCACUGAUGUAUACUGUUAUAAAUUAAUGCAGAGGUAAGAGAUCUAUUAAAACUGCAAGACAGACCAAUGGAUUUCAAUUUAACAGAGGAUGAAAAGUUACAUGAUUUGGUUUUAGAUUUCGUAUUGCAACUAAUCUCUACAAUACUCUGAUGUGUCAAGUUUUGGUGUGGUAUUAAAGAAGAUUAUGUGUAAUUAUCUGAAAAGGCUACUACCAUACUUCUCAUGCCUUUUCCAAUUGCAUAUGUGAGGCCAGAUUUUCUGCAUCCACUUCAACCAAAAUAAUAUAUUGCCACAGACUGGAGAAGCCAGUGUAGGAAUCCAGCUGUCUUCUAAUAUGAUAAACAUUAAAGAGAUUAGCAAAAAUGUAAAACAAUGCCAAGAGUCUCACUAAGUUUUAAAUUUUUUGAGUUGAAGUCCUCAAUCAUUUUUAACACUGUAAUGGGGACCUGAGUUCCAAAAACUUGAGAGCCACUGGCCUAGGAGAAGAAGUAAAUUUUAGAAGGCUUUUAAGUUAAACAUAUGAGGAAAAAUGAAAAAGUGAACAGGUGUUAUAUUGAGAGUGAGAGGAAUGAGAAGGGUACAGAAUUGAGGAAAGUGUUAAUUCCAAAAAACAUAAGGAAAGAACUAAGAGAAGCACUGAGGGCUCAGCUAAGAUUUAACUACAUUUGUAUUGGUGCUGGACACAAUUUUCUCCAGCAAUACACAGCAGCCUGGGAGAUCAAAAAUAGGACAAAUGGAGAACUGGAAUAGAGAAGAUACAUGUAACAAAUUUAAUAAGAAAGUGACAACUAAGGUUUCUGGUUAUGUUAAAACAACCAAAUUUAAGGUCCAACCUAGGAACAAGAGAUGAAAUCUUCACUGUUUGGCCAGCUCUUCUACUGAGAAUAAGGAAAGGGACCCUAGUGUUGUACCCAAGUGCAGAGGCAAAAUUAAGAUCUGCUAAACUUUUCGUGUAUGAAAUUAAAGUGUGAAUUAGUAAUGGAUCUUGCCUUCCUUAAAAAUUUAAAUCAUGUAACUCAAUUAUCCACAGGUGGGGCUUUCAGUUGGAAAUGCGUUACAGUGAGUUGCUUUUGUACUUUUAAUAUUAAAAGCCCAUGGAGUGAAUUCUAAGCAGUUAUGCUUCAUGCCAAAUUCUGUUUAAUUCCAGUAUACAUGUUUGAGUGUGUUAACUGAUAACGGACAAAGGCUAGUAGAGCCAAAAUGAAAUAAAGUCAGCUAAAUGAAAAUUAAGUAUUCUAUCCUAAAACAGGACUAUGCUGAGUAGACUUCUCUUUUCAUAAUAAGGUUUUACUUAAGUUUGAAUUUCUCAGGACACAGCAUUACUUUUCUUCUCAAGAGUUCUCAUACUCAAAUUAUUUCCUAGUUUUAAAAGGACUUAACUUACCAUAAAUGGCCGUUUUUCCUGAUUACGUCUGAAAUUACCCAUCUUAAAACACCUAAUCCUACGUAGACAAUUUUGUAUCACAUUACACAGUACUACAGAUCACAGAAAAAUCUUUCUCAUUUUCACAUUUUAUAGCUCAGAACCAGGGUAAACCUGAGCCAUGAACCUCAUCGCAAUUUUUCAAUCUCUUGUUUUCAUAUUACUUACUAUACAUAUACACAUUUUGCACACCAUUUUGACAACUAUACCUUCUACAAUUCUAGCCUUCCAUGUAAACAAGGCUAUAGAAAGACUUAGUUUGACAUCCUGGCUGAGUCAAAUAUCUCAAUUGGACUUCACAUCUAAAAAAAUGAGGAUAACUACAUUUGUUCUUUCCUAUCUUUCAGGGUUGUUGCAAAGAUUAGGUAAGAUUUUCAUAAGCUGUAAAAUAUAGUACAAAUAUAAGAUAUUAUCACAGAUACUUUCAAGUAUUUGAAUAAUAAAACAAAUUAUAUAUUCAAAGUACCAAGGAAUUAAUUUUGUCAUAUAUGCUUACCAAUUACGAAUUAAGAAAUAUUGGUUGUUAGGCAAAUUAUAAUUUAGGUAUGUUGAAGAAAGGAAAAAUAUAUAUAAGAGAAUGUUAAAAACUUCCAAAAACAACAAAAAAACUUUUAAACGAUGUGAUCCACAGUAUUAGCUUCACUUUGGAAGAAAAAUUAAUGAUGUUGGUGUGUCAUUUUAUUACUUUGAUAAAAUAGUAAAUCACAUUAAAAUAAAUACCCAAACACGCCUUUAAACCUUAAAUUAACCCAACUGUAUUAACUCCUAAUAUAUUUUAUAUUUAUAUUUUAAUGGAUCCCUCAAUUUUCCUAAGUUAUUUGUUAAAUAUCUUUUUUUCAUAUUACGUAACAAAAAUUGUGCUACACUGAAAGCCCAAAGCUCUAAUUUCAAUCAACUACACCUACACGCCCCUCUUCCCCUGGGGAAAAAGAAAAAAAAAACCCACCCACUGUACUGCUACAAAUAGCAAAAAUAAAUCUCUCUCUGACUAGUCUUUAGGAGAAACAAUAAAAUAACUGGAAGAAGGAAAAUAAUUGGAAGAAGGAAAAAUGGCUAUAAGAGUUUACACUCUCCCUCAGGCGUCAGCAAACUACAACCCUCAUCUGCUUUCAUGUUUUAGAAUGCAGCCACACCCAUACUAACCAUGGCUGCUUUUGCUGCAAUACCAUUAAUGAGCUGAGAGGCAAUAAAAAGGCCACUCACCCUUUAAAGAAGUUUGCCAAACACUGAGCUAAGCAAUCAAUAUUGAAAAGAAAAUAAAUUCCAAAUAAGUCAAAAUGUUUUUAUUUAUACAAGAAAUACUACUUCUGUUAGGUCUAGCUGAUUCUUAUUUUGGUUCUGUUUGGUUGUGGUCACUCUGUCCGCUUCUUACCAUCUCCACUACCACUACUCUGGUCCAAGAUAGCAUCUUUUCUCCCCUGGACUGCUGCCAUUGUCUCUUAUCUGAUCUUGCUGUCCCAAUCCACUACAGUCUAUCCUCAAACACAGCAGGCAGAUCAGUCCUUUAAAAACUUGUCAAGUAGUAUCUCUCCUUUGCUUCAAACCUUCGAAGGACCCCUAUUUCAUGUAUAAGAUGAGUGAAAGUCCUUCUAAUGGCCUAGAAAGCUUUAUAUGAUUUGGGCCAUUUCAUUUCUUAUAUCAUCUUUUAUUACUCUCCUUUUCCUUUAUUCCCCCUCCUGCCACACUAACUUCCUUCUUGUUCCUUAAACAGACCAAGUGUAUUUUCUGUGAAGUUUUUUAUAACUACCAUUUGUUCUGCCUGGAGCACUCUUUCUUCCGACUUCUGCAUGACUAGCUGAGUGACUCCAAGUGUUUGCUCAAAUCUCAUCUUAAAAUGAGGCCUGACCAGGACACCCCACCCAGAACUCUGUAUUUCCUCAUCUUCAAACUAUUUAUUGUACAUGUGUAAUUUAUGCUACGUUAUAUUUACUGUUUGUCUUCCCUCCCACCCUACUGACUCUCAACUGUAAGAGCUUGGAAUACUGGUGUAGUUUGUGGGAAGGGGGGAGGAUAAAUAGUGUUAAUGAGCUAAGGAAGUGAAAAUUAUAUGCUAUUCUUUAAAAAGUACUAUAGGCAAUUGAGCAGGAGGAAAGCAGAGAGAAGAAUAAAUUUUCACGUUAAAAUAAAACCCUGCCAACUUUAAGCCCUUAAAUUACAUGGCUUAUUGCCUUUAAAAUUAAAACUGCCCAAAAAAAGAAGAAGAA